Molecule: ribosomal RNA, 495 nt
Filed under: uncultured bacterium
Lineage: Bacteria
Description: partial 16S ribosomal RNA
Rfam family: Bacterial small subunit ribosomal RNA
Source: RNAcentral
GACGAACGCUGGCGGCGUGCCUAAUACAUGCAAGUAGAACGCUGAAGGAGGAGCUUGCUCUUCUGGAUGAGUUGCGAACGGGUGAGUAACGCGUAGGUAACCUGCCUGGUAGCGGGGGAUAACUAUUGGAAACGAUAGCUAAUACCGCAUAACAGUAGAUGCUGCAUGACAUUUGCUUAAAAGGUGCAAUUGCAUCACUACCAGAUGGACCUGCGUUGUAUUAGCUAGUUGGUGGGGUAACGGCUCACCAAGGCGACGAUACAUAGCCGACCUGAGAGGGUGAUCGGCCACACUGGGACUGAGACACGGCCCAGACUCCUACGGGAGGCAGCAGUAGGGAAGCUUCGGCAAUGGACGGAAGUCUGACCGAGCAACGCCGCGUGAGUGAAGAAGGUUUUCGGAUCGUAAAGCUCUGUUGUAAGAGAAGAACGAGUGUGAGAGUGGAAAGUUCACACUGUGACGGUAUCUUACCAGAAAGGGACGGCUAACUACGUG